RNAcentral lists this long non-coding RNA (422 nucleotides) under Sus scrofa (pig). Its description in RNAcentral is "lncRNA (ENSSSCG00070015726.1)". The record is from RNAcentral. Lineage: Eukaryota; Metazoa; Chordata; Mammalia; Artiodactyla; Suidae.
UUUGUUGAAUGCUGGCUACCCCAAAAUACCUCCCGAACAACUCAUGAGAAGACAAAGCCGAAUUUAUUCUUACCAUGAUGGACAAGCAUCAUUGGAAACCCCAGAGGUUCAAGGUAUAGGGAAGGUCGCAAGGCACCAAAGGGAAGAGGAUGGAAGAAAAAGAAAGAUGGUAGGAACAUUCACAUAUAUUUCUACUGAGUACAAUAUACUUUUUUCAUUGAAUUAAUAUUUUAUUGAACCCUCAUAUACCCUAAUGGAUUAGGUUUUGUUAAUCACAUUUUAGCUGUAUGAAGUACCCCUAACAGGUUGCAAGGAUUAGGACAUGAGUAUCUUUGGGGGGAGGACAUUAUUCAGUCUACCAUAUUCAGAUCUGUCUUUUUGUAAAAAAUAAAUAAUACAUCAUUUAGUUUGAUUAUGAAAGU